Molecule: transfer RNA, 85 nt
Organism: Felis catus (domestic cat)
Lineage: Eukaryota; Metazoa; Chordata; Mammalia; Carnivora; Felidae
Rfam family: tRNA
About the family: Transfer RNA (tRNA) molecules are approximately 80 nucleotides in length. Their secondary structure includes four short double-helical elements and three loops (D, anti-codon, and T loops). Further hydrogen bonds mediate the characteristic L-shaped molecular structure. tRNAs have two regions of fundamental functional importance: the anti-codon, which is responsible for specific mRNA codon recognition, and the 3' end, to which the tRNAs corresponding amino acid is attached (by aminoacyl-tRNA synthetases). tRNAs cope with the degeneracy of the genetic code in two manners: having more than one tRNA (with a specific anti-codon) for a particular amino acid; and 'wobble' base-pairing, i.e. permitting non-standard base-pairing at the 3rd anti-codon position.
Source: Rfam
GCCUGGAUGGCUCAGUCGGUUGGGCAUCCAACUUCAGCUUGGGUCAUGAUCUUGCGGUUCGUGGGUUCGAGCCCCGCGUCGGGCU